RNAcentral lists this ribosomal RNA (305 nucleotides) under uncultured bacterium. RNAcentral's name for it is "bacterial SSU rRNA". It matches the Rfam family "Bacterial small subunit ribosomal RNA", at positions 334 to 637 of the family's 1533-position model. The record is from RNAcentral.
UUGUCCUACGGGGCGCAGCAGUGAGGAAUAUUGGUCAAUGGGCGGGAGCCUGAACCAGCCAAGUCGCGUGAAGGAAGAAGGUACUUAGUAUUGUAAACUUCUUUUGUCGGGGAACAAAGGCGGAGACGCGUCUCCGGAUGAGUGUACCCGAAGAAAAAGCAUCGGCUAACUCCGUGCCAGCAGCCGCGGUAAUACGGAGGAUGCGAGCGUUAUCCGGAUUUAUUGGGUUUAAAGGGUGCGUAGGCGGAUCGUUAAGUCAGUGGUCAAAUUGAGGGGCUCAACCCCUUCCCGCCAUUGAAACUGGC